AUCCACUAAUGGUUGUGGAACAUCAUGAAUGUCACGAAAUCACAAGUUUUACGUAACGUAAGUGAAGUCCCAUCAGUGCUGGCAUUUUCUCAAACUGCCCCUGACGCAGGUGGUUUCGGCGGAUGCAUGAGCAUACUUUUAAGAUGGAAGGGCAGCAUUUACAAGACAAUAUGGAAAGAUUUGUUGGUCUACUACGGACUCUAUUAUUUGAUUACAAUCAUACACAACUAUGUUCUCGAUGAGGACGGGAAAAGAGCAUUUGUGGCAUUGGCGAAAUAUUGCUUGAGAAAUUCUAAUUCUAUUAACGUGAUGAUCAUGUUAACGUUCUUUACGACAACGGCCUUGCAUCGUCUCUUUGCCAUGCAGACAAUGAUUCCUGGGACGGCCAAAGUUAUUACAUUUUUUGUCCUGUCACUCAAGCCAAAUUUGCCUGAAGGUCCAAUCGUCGUGGAACAAUUUGCUCGUUGGACGGUGCUGGCAUGGAUACUAACUUUUCGUGUCGUGAGCAAACCAUUACGUACGAUGUUUCCUGACAUCAUUUCACUCCAAGUAGCCGGAAUUAUCAAAGAGAAAGAAAGAUUGCUUUUAGAGAGAGUGGAAACUGAACGUAAUAAGACUCCACGCGCUUUAAUGGUCAUUGACUGGAUGCUUUUAUUAAUGAAAGAAUCUUCAGUACACAACCGAUUUGCAGAGAAAUCUAAUUACCUUAAAGCUGUUGAAGUGCUUAUGACCUUUAAGAAAGGCUGCGGCAACACAAUUAAAUUUGCAACAAAGAACAUGCCUUACGCCCUCAUUCAGGCUGUAAUAAUUGUGGUGUACACUUACGGCUUAGUAACGUUAAUUGCUCGUAAUGUUGAAGAGGCAAGUAGCUGUGUCUUUGUGGAAGUAAUCGUUAAUUACAUCCCAAUAAUCCCUAGUAUGCAGUUUUUUGUCUUCCUCGUUUGGCUUAAUUUUGGUCGAGUCGCCGUGAAUCCGUUUGGAACUGAUGAUGACGACAUUGACGUCACACUUUUAUUUAAAACUCAUGUCCAGGAUUCUUUUCGUUUGGCGAGUCUCUAUUCUCAGGAUUUGGAACAAAUCUUUGGCCAAAUGCCUCAACACCAACAUAAUCAAGAACCGUCACUCCAAAGUGCUGCCCCUAUGCAAAACCAGUAGACAAUUUUGUGGAGUAAAUGCAGGACGGGCUUUUAAUAUGUACAUAAAGUAACGUGGAAAAAAAGUGGUGGCCCUCAGAAUUUGUUUGCGUGUUAAUUUAUGGCCGCCAAACAUUCGUGACAACUGCUGACAAAGAUGUUAACCUUCAUCCCGCACGCCUCGUUAGAAGACGGUGUCCUCGAGGUAGCAAAAAAAUGUUCAACACUGAGCUGCUAAAAAAUCGAAGUGUCCGAAGAAAGGGGCACUAUUAAUAUUAUCCAUCUGAUUCUUUAUGUUUUUGUUCUUCUAAAAGUUUUUAACAUAUCUGGAGAGAGGGGUGGGCACAAGCUUUCAGGCAGAUCCUACUAUCCUUUCACUGCACUUCCUUCUAAAGUCACCCUUUUACGUCUCUCUUGUACCGUGUUCUGACAUCUGUUUAAAAAUAUGUAUAUUUAAUACAAUUCCAAUUUAUAGUGUCA
Molecule: unclassified non-coding RNA, 1613 nt
Filed under: Daphnia magna
Lineage: Eukaryota; Metazoa; Arthropoda; Branchiopoda; Diplostraca; Daphniidae
Description: bestrophin-2, transcript variant X1
Source: RNAcentral